Molecule: ribosomal RNA, 254 nt
Filed under: uncultured bacterium
Lineage: Bacteria
Description: partial 16S ribosomal RNA
Rfam family: Bacterial small subunit ribosomal RNA
Source: RNAcentral
UCUAUGCCGUAAACUUUGUACACUUGGUGUCGGGGGUCAAACCUCGGUACCGAAGCUAACGCGAUAAGUGUACCGCCUGGGGAGUAUGCCGGCAACGGUGAAACUCAAAGGAAUUGACGGGGGCCCGCACAAGCGGUGGAGCAUGUGGUUUAAUUCGAUGAUACGCGAGGAACCUUACCAGGGUUUGACAUAUUAGUGACCGUUUUAGAGAUAAGAUUUCCCUUGGGGACGCUAUUACAGGUGCUGCAUGGCUG